AUUGAACGCUGGCGGCAUGCCUUACACAUGCAAGUCGAACGGCAGCACGGGUGCUUGCACCUGGUGGCGAGUGGCGCACGGGUGAGUAAUACAUCGGAACAUGUCCUGUAGUGGGGGAUAGCCCGGCGAAAGCCGGAUUAAUACCGCAUACGAUCUACGGAUGAAAGCGGGGGACCUUCGGGCCUCGCGCUAUAGGGUUGGCCGAUGGCUGAUUAGCUAGUUGGUGGGGUAAAGGCCUACCAAGGCGACGAUCAGUAGCUGGUCUGAGAGGACGACCAGCCACACUGGGACUGAGACACGGCCCAGACUCCUACGGGAGGCAGCAGUGGGGAAUUUUGGACAAUGGGCGAAAGCCUGAUCCAGCAAUGCCGCGUGUGUGAAGAAGGCCUUCGGGUUGUAAAGCACUUUUGUCCGGAAAGAAAUCCUUGGCUCUAAUACAGUCGGGGGAUGACGGUACCGGAAGAAUAAGCACCGGCUAACUACGUG
Molecule: ribosomal RNA, 486 nt
Filed under: uncultured bacterium
Lineage: Bacteria
Description: partial 16S ribosomal RNA
Rfam family: Bacterial small subunit ribosomal RNA
Source: RNAcentral